RNAcentral lists this ribosomal RNA (484 nucleotides) under uncultured bacterium. RNAcentral's name for it is "partial 16S ribosomal RNA". It matches the Rfam family "Bacterial small subunit ribosomal RNA", at positions 29 to 523 of the family's 1533-position model. The record is from RNAcentral.
AGUGAACGCUGGCGGCGUGCUUAACACAUGCAAGUCGAACGAGAACGGAUUAUAGCUUGCUAUAAUUGUCAGCUAAGUGGCGCACGGGUGAGUAAUGUAUAGGUAAUAUGCCUCUUACUAAGGGAUAACAAUUGGAAACGAUUGCUAAUACCUUAUAUUCCUUUUUAUCAAACGAUAAAAAGGGAAAGAUUUAUUGGUAAGAGAUUAGCCUGUAUUGUAUCAGUUAGUUGGUGGGGUAAUGGCCUACCAAGACAAUGACGCAUAACUGGUUUGAGAGGAUGAUCAGUCACACUGGAACUGAGACACGGUCCAGACUCCUGCGGGAGGCAGCAGUGGGGAAUAUUGCACAAUGGACGAAAGUCUGAUGCAGCAACGCCGCGUGGAGGAUGACACAUUUCGGUGCGUAAACUCCUUUUAUAUAAGAAGAUAAUGACGGUAUUAUAUGAAUAAGCACCGGCUAACUCCGUGCCAGCCGCCGCCGUAA